This 402-nucleotide ribosomal RNA is filed under the name uncultured bacterium. Its description in RNAcentral is "bacterial SSU rRNA". It matches the Rfam family "Bacterial small subunit ribosomal RNA", at positions 355 to 774 of the family's 1533-position model. The record is from RNAcentral.
UGGGGAAUCUUGCACAAUGGGGGCAACCCUGAUGCAGCGACGCCGCGUGAGCGAUGAAGCCCUUCGGGGCGUAAAGCUCUUUCGACCGGAACGAUAAUGACGGUACAGGGAGAAGAAGCUGCGGCUAACUACGUGCCGGCAGCCGCGGUAAUACGUAGGCAGCAAGCGUUGUUCGGAGUUACUGGGCGUAAAGAGUGCGUAGGCGGUUUUCUAAGUUCGGUGUGAAAUCUCCCGGCUUAACUGGGAGGGUGCGGCGAAGACUGGGAAGCUGGAGUGUGGGAAAGGCAGGCGGAAUUCCUGGUGUAGCGGUGAAAUGCGUAGAUAUCAGGAGGAACACCGGCGGUGUAGACGGCUUGCUAGACCAUAACUGACGCUGAGGCACGAAAGCGUGGGUAGCAAACA